RNAcentral lists this ribosomal RNA (421 nucleotides) under uncultured bacterium. RNAcentral's name for it is "bacterial SSU rRNA". It matches the Rfam family "Bacterial small subunit ribosomal RNA", at positions 360 to 773 of the family's 1533-position model. The record is from RNAcentral.
AAUAUUGGACAAUGGGGGCAACCCUGAUCCAGCGACGCCGCGUGGGUGAAGAAGGCCUGCGGGUUGUCAAGCCCUUUCGGUUGGGAAGAAAAGCUGCGACCUAACACGUUGCGGCCUUGACGUAACCAACUAAAGAAGCACCGGCUACCUCCGUGCCAGCAGCCGCGGUAAUACAGAGGGUGCGAGCGUUAAUCGGAAUUACUGGGCGUAAAGCGCGCGUAGGCGGCUUUGCAAGUCGAGUGUGAAAUCCCCAGGCUUAACCUGGGAACUGCAUUCGAGACUGCAUAGCUAGAGUAUGGGAGAGGGAAGUGGAAUUUCAGGUGUAGCGGUGAAAUGCGUAGAUAUCUGAAGGAACAUCAGUGGCGAAAGCGACUUCCUGGACCAAUACUGACGCUCAUGUGCGAAAGCGUGGGGAGCAAAC